Panicum virgatum (switchgrass) is the source of this 1009-nucleotide long non-coding RNA. RefSeq lists it as uncharacterized. The record is from RefSeq and is a predicted model, not a curated record. NCBI's taxonomy places the organism in Eukaryota, Viridiplantae, Streptophyta, Magnoliopsida, Poales, Poaceae. The transcript is spliced from 2 exons.
GCCGCCGGGGAUGGCGCCGUGCGGCUCGGGUGCGCCUCCCCAAGGCCAGCGUCCAGCACCUCGUCGAGGGCAGCUGUGAUGCCACUGACUCUCCGGGGCUCGCCACCGGCUGCUCGACGCUGAGGAGGUGCACCGCCUCGGCGUGCAUGCAUCCCCACUCGACCCGGAUGCGGCGGCAUCGGCACUGCUGCUCGCGUCCCCCGCGCGGCCGGCCGUGAAGGCCGCCGGGGAUGGCUCCGUGCAGAUCCGAGUGUGUCGAGUUGGACCAGAGCUGGCACCGCUCCGCCGACGCCUCCUCGGCUCGCCGCCGCCGUGGCCGGAGCUCGCCCGGCACCACCGCCUGCAGGGGCACACAAGGAGGAAGCGGAAAUGUGGAGUGGAGGUAGAAGAAUUGCCUGACCAGCGGGGCCCGUAUGGAAGUGAGAGGAGUUUAGAUGGGCCUUGACGAUCUGCUGAGCUGGCGGGGUGAAAUGAGAUGGGAUGACCUUUUUAGAGUUGUGGAGUGGAGCCACAAAAUAUCUAAACAGAAUAGACUUAAAGUGGUGGAGUGGAGUGGAGUUGGUGGAGUAGAGUCGGUGGAGUGGAGUGGCUAUUUUAGAAGUGAAGUGCUCCCAAACAUGCCCAUAACAUAGUGAAACUGUAUUUAUCUACCUCUAAUAAAGUUGCAGUGUCAGCGUUGAGGUCGCGUGCCUCCGCAUCAUCCUCUCAACAUCGUGUGCCCUCGUGACCGAUCGUGAAGGAGCUGAUGACCUUGCCCCACGCAUCGUCCUCUCCUGUGCAGGCCUUUCCAAUGCUGCCAACUGUGGCGUCAGGAUCUUAGACUGGAGUCGACUGUUGGAUUAGAAUCAGAAAGGUGCAUGUCAUGGGUCUGCUCAUUUGUUUUGACGAAAAUAAUAUGAAGUAAUUUCUUGUUUUGGUUGACAUGAUCACUAAGUAUCAGCACAUAGAACAUGUAUAAACUUAUGAUGCUAUGACAAGUUAAUAUAAUUUUGAGUGUAUGUGAUCUUGA